UCCUGGGAUGCCGUUGAUUUUUAAGGCAAUAGGAUUUGCAGGACUUUUCGUCAAAUCCUUGUAUAACGUCAAGUCAUGACAUUUGACAGAUCCACACCGAACGUUAAGCGAUUACGUGUCAGGAAUGGGAGCAUCUUGCCAUCAUUGCUUCACACUCAGGAAAUGUUCUUGGAACUUUACGCCGCCUGCCCUCCAGAGAAGCUGUAGCAUCUUUUGCUCCCGGGUAGUAUAAACCGCACGGAAGGGACUAAAAAUCGCUGCCCAGUGAUCUAAGCGCUCCGAAGUGCCAAAAGGUACCACCCUGCCCCCUGUGAGGCUCGAACUCACAACCUUCAGAUUAUUAGACUGACGCGCUGCCUACUGCGACAACGAGGCAGACUGCAGCAGCUUGGAAAGCUGUGACACACCACGUUCCAUUUCACUGUGCUGCGGUGUGGGUCCUAGGAGACAGCUCAGGCCAUGCAUGCAUGUCAGGAUGGCUGAGCGGUGUAUAGCGCUGUGUUCAGGUCGCAGUUUCCCCUGGAGGCUUGGUGUCAAAUCCCCCUUCUGACAAACCAAAUCUUUGGCUAUACGCUAAGGCUCAAGUCUUUAACUCUCUGGCGCCAUGUCCAAGUGAUACAGUAACACUGACAAAGCGCCGCAUCAACCUCUUUGCGCCAAAGUUCUUGCAGCGUAGUAAUGUCCCUGGCAACCCUAAUAGGCAUUUUAAACUGCAAGUUUUAAGGCGUUGUCCACAGCAACUCGGAAAACCCUGUGAACAAAACAAUGGACGAGGGCUUUAAUGCAAAUGCACCGAAAGGGGAUCGAAAGAACUGUCUUGGAAUGCCAUGUAGUGGAAUGUCCUGGGAUGCCAUUGAUUUUAAGGCAAUAUGAUUCACAGGACUUUUCAUCAAAUCCUUGUACAACGUCAAGUCAUGACAUUUGACAGAUCCACGCUGAACGUCAAGCAAUUACUUGACAGGAAUGGGAGCAUCUUGCCAUUAUUGCUUCAGACUCAGGAAAUGUUCUUGGUACUUCAUGCCUCCUGCCCUUCAGAGAAGCUGUAGAAUUUUUUGCACCCGGGAAGCUAGAACCGCACGGAAGGGAAUAAAAAACGCUGCCCAGUCAUCUAAGCGUUCCCGUAUGCCAAAAGGUACCACAUUGCCCCAUGUGAGGCUCGAACCCAUGACAUUCAGAUUAUGAUACUGACAAACUGCUUACUGCGCCAACGAGGCAGACUGCAGCAGCUCUGCAAGCUGUGACAACACCAGCUUCCAUGUUACUGUGGGUCCUAGGAGACAGCUUAGGCAAUGCAAGCAUGUCAGGAUGGCUGAGGGAUCUAAGGUGCUGCGUUCAGAUCGCAGUCUCCGCUGGAGGCGUGGGUUCAAAUCCCACUUCUGACAAACAAAAUCUUUGGCUAUACGUUCAGGCUCAAGCCUUUAACUCUCUGUCCAAGUGAUACAGUAACACUGACAAAGUGCCGCAUCAACCUCUUUGCUCCAAAGUUCAUGCAGCGUAGCAGUGUGCCUGGGAAGCUUAAUGGGCACUUUAGAUGGCAAGUUUUAAGGUGUUUGUGAUUUAAGGCAUUGUCCACAGCAACUCGGAAAAACAUGUGAACAAAACAGUGGACGAGGGCUUUAAUGCUAGUGCACCGAAAAGGGAUUGAAAGAACUGUCGUGGAAUGCCAUGUGGUGGAAUGUCCUGGGAUGCCGUUGAUUUUUAAGGCAAUAGGAUUUGCAGAACUUUUUGUCAAAUCCUUGUACAACAUCAAGUCAUGACAUUUGACAGAUCCACACCGAAUGUCAAGCGAUUACUUGUCAGGAAUGGGAGCAUCUUGUCAUCAUUGCUUCAGACUCAGGAAAUGUUCUUGGAACUUCAUGCCGCCUGCCCUCCAGAGAAGCUGUAGCAUUUUUUGCUCCCGGGAAGCAUGAACCGCAUGGAAGGCAAUAAAAAAAACGCGGCCCUGUCAUCUAAGCGCUCCCGCUCCAAAAGGUACCACCCUGCCCCGUGUGAGGCUCAAACUCACAACCUUCAGAUUAUGAGACUGACACGCUGCCUACUGUGCCAACAAUGAGUACUGCAACAGCUCUGCAAGCUGUGACACAGCAGCUUCCAUUUCACUGUGCUGUGGUGUGGGUCCUAGGAGAUAGCUCAGGCAAUACAAGCAUGUCAGGAUGGCCGAGCAGUCUCAGGUGCUGCGUUCAAGCUGAGGAAUAAUCAUCCAACAAAGAAGGUGAAGAAGGAAAGAAUAGGGUGAAGGAAGAAGAGGGGGGAAAAAACGAAGGUGCUCACCAACACGGGGGUUCGAAUCCAGCUAAAGACGCUUUAUUGUUAUUUGUUUCUUAUUACUCAAUAAACUAACAAUUUGAAUGUAUAAUGCUCCAAGGUAAAUAAAAUAUGCCUAAGCACUUUG
Danio rerio (zebrafish) is the source of this 2392-nucleotide non-coding RNA. The record is from RefSeq and is a predicted model, not a curated record. NCBI's taxonomy places the organism in Eukaryota, Metazoa, Chordata, Actinopteri, Cypriniformes, Danionidae.